UAUUGUUUUGGCAGAACUAAGUUCAGAAAAUCUCAGAACCUGUUUUAAGAUCAUCAAUGGCUAUAUCUUUUUAUCAUCAACAGAAUUUUUACAGGUAUGUUGGAGUAGUGUUUGUAAGAAAUUAAGUAGUUAUUAUGUUUAUUAUUAUUAUUGUUUAUUAUUGUCAUUUCAAAAUUUAAGAUUAUUUUGUUAAUUUAAUGGGGAAAAAUUCUCUGUGAGCAUUCCCCACUGCAAGGAAGAUGUGAUACGUGCCGCUCCAUUGUUAUAUAAUGCAGGAACUGUGCUAUUUAAAUAAAUAUAUCCUCAUUUCUAUAAAAAUCAGUGUAUCAAUAAACUAUUUUUGUGAGGCAUAAUCUUUUUUUCCUUAAUCCUAAGACUUUUAGUUGAAAAACUUCAUAUGCUUAGACCUUUAGCAUAUACUUCUCAAAUAGGUAAUAAUGAGUCUCAAAGUGAUUUUAUGCCUUUUUGAUAUUACAAAUAUAUUCUUAUAUUGUCUUUGGAUUGAAUUUCAGACAUAUGCAGUGGGUCUUUGUCAGUCCUUUUGUGAGCUGUUAAAGGAAAUUACUACAGAAGGUCAAGUUCAAGUGCUCAAGGUAUUGUCAUCUUUUGUCACCAUCAGAUGAUUUAAAAAAUUACCUGUUAAGUUUAAUAUCUCUGAAUGUUUUGUGAAGUUGUACCUUCAUUUGGUUGUGGUUGUUGGCAAGAAGAGUUGCCGUAAUUCUGAAUGUGGUAUUUUGUUUUAGCAAUAUUCAUUUGGUUUAAUCUCAAAUUUGUACAGAAAGAUCACUGGAAAUCUUGUUAAAAUGUAAUUGUAGAUCUUCAACAAUCUCAGCUAAUUGGGAUGUUGCCUGUUCUGAGAAUUCAUUUUGUGUUGCAAGGUUUUAAAAACCAACUUUGUCUGAAGACUGUCUUCAGUUUGUUAGCCUACUUUUGGGUCAGAUUUUUCACUGUAUAAUUUGGUAGUUUUAAUUUCAUUUAGGUGUUGAAGUUAGAGUAUUAAGUUUGUUGAGGUUAUGUAUAAUUAAUAACCAAAAGCCUCAAAGUUAUAUAUUAUCUUUAUGUAGCAUAUCUAUGUUAAAGAUAUAGUGUUAAAUAUAUAUUUAUUUACAUGUAAACAAAUACGUGCAUAAAUCUGUAUUAAAACUUACCUUUACAUGUGCAUAUUAUACGUACAUAUUUUAUGUAUAGACUUUGAGAGAAGGUGUAGCUGUUGAAUUUCUAAUUUCUUAGUUUGUUCUAAGUCAGAUAUGAGUUGACUUCUGGCCUUUUGGAUGGUUCAUGCCUGUAAUAUUAGUGACCUGGAAGUCUGAUGACGCAGGAGGAUCACAAGUUUGAGGUCGUCCUCAGUCAUUUAUUCUGUAGGUUAAGAAUCAGCAAAUUUUUCUAUUAAGAACCAGGUAGUAAAGAUUUUAGGUUUUAUGAGUCAUACAAUCUUUGUCUCAGCUAAUUCAAGCUUGCUAUGGUAGUAUGCAUGUAAUCAUAGAUGAUAUGUAAAUGAAUGACUAUGGCUAUGUCUCAGUAAUGACCUUGUUUACAAAAUCCUGCAGUGGAGUUUGGUCCAAGGGCCUAAAUUUGCCAACUUCUGGUAUUUGGUUGUUAAUACUCUUUUCUGCUAGGCCUAGGUGAUAAGAAAAUGUCAAUUCCUACUCUUAAGUAAUUCAGUUUUAGGGGGAAGAGGAGACAGGUAAACAACUGCUCAGUAUUCAGUGUUAUAUAAAAUUAGUGAGUUUGAAUCAGAAGCAUCUCAAAAUCACCUGAUGGACUUCUUGAAAAUUUAGGUAGAACACAGGACAUAAUAGUUUUUUGUUGUUGUUGUUUUUCAAAAAGUUUCUCAUGUGAUUUUUGUAAGUACUUCUUGGUAGGAAUCAUUGUUAACUGUUUAUAUCACUCUAAGAAUAUAGAAGUGGUCACUUAACUCAGCAUUUUGCAGAGAACUGUUUUUUAGGAAGAAGGAUUUAAAAUGUGAGCUGAGUUUUUAAAAGUUGUAGGGGUCACUACUGCCAGAAUAAAACAUAAUUAUUUGCUAAUUCAGGCAACCCUAAGAAGUAUGAAUAAGACUAAUAAAAUGUGUAAUACUACACAGAAGUGAAUAAGAUUAAGGACAGAGAAAAUACUGUAGGAUUCUCUGUUCAGGGUGGGGAUAAUGAUGUUAUUUAAAACACUUUUAGUGCUUGUUAACUGGAGUUAUAUUUCAGCUUAACUGAAGCGUUAAUUUAAAAAUUUUUGAGAAAAGGAAGGUUCUUGAGGAGAUCAUUAAGGACUGUCUUGAUAUCCUAGGGAUAUAUAGCAAAGUACAUGACAACUUUGGUAGUUUAAAACAUCAGAAAUUUUACCUAUAAUGUUUAUUAAUUUUAUCAUUCAAAGUCAAGCUGUAGAUAGGGCCCAUACUAUCUCUGUAAAGACCCCAGGAAAAUCAAUUUCAAGUGUAUCUCUUAGUUUCUGGUGAUCAUUGGCAAUUUUUUUUUUUUUUUUUUUUUUUUUGGCUUUUUUUGGGUUUUUAGAUGAAUCACCCACUUCAAUCUCUGCCUCACAUGACAUCUCUCCACCCUUCUGUUUUUAUAUUUUCUUAUAAGGACACUAGUAAGGAUGAAUUUAGAGCCAACUCUAAUAUCUUCAUUUACUGGGAUUAUUCGUGCAAAGGCUCUUUUUCCAAAUAAGGUCACUGUCCAGUCACAUGUACCAGAGGUUAGGACUUCAACAUACUCUUUGCGGAGGUGGGGGAUAGACAGCACAGAGACAAUUCAGCUCAUAACAGGAACUUACUACUAAAAAAGUAAAAUUACUUUUGUGUGUGGAAAGGUAGUGAGGGAAACUUGGUCUGAGUAGGUUUUGUAGAUAAAGGAAUCCAAUGGAAGAGAAAAUGGUUCACCAAACCACAGUGGCAUACAUCUGUCAUCCCACAGCUCAGGAGACUGAGGCAGGAGGAUUACAAAUUUGAGGCCAGCCUGUCUCAAAAUUUAAAACAUUGAAAAGGAGGAGAGAUGUAGCUCAGUAGUAAAGUGCCCUUAUUAAAAAAAAAAGAGAGAAAAACAGAAAGAAUGGACAAUGAUUAUAGAUUAUAUAAAGGAUUGAGGUUACUAAUCUAGAGUGUAUAUGGAAGGUUUGUGUGGAAAAGAGGCAAGAGUUUUUGUUUUCUGAAAGAGUUGGCAAGAAUGGACAAUAAUUGAAGUUGUAUAUCAUGUUAGGUAAAGAACACAGGAAGAGUUGAAAUAAGAACAGUUUUUGGUUAGUGCUGAUUUUCCACAAAAGUCCAUUUAUCAAAUAUAUUUUUCAGAACUUUGUCUUAAUUUUACUGUUUUAUAUUUGAAUUCAAAUAGAAAUUUAGAACCAAAAUAAAGACAGUAAAUAAAAUAUAUGGUAGAACUCGUUUUCUUAAUUUUGGCUUAAUUCUUUUGUUUCUUUUUUAGAGCAAGGAGUUUACUAAAGAAUGAGAAUAUAUGCCACCAAAAAAGCAGGUGGACUGGGAAGGAGUUAAUAAUAGGAAUCUGUGCAUGUGGCUUAUUGAGACCCUGGAUACCUCAACCCUGGUCUGCCGCACUUAUCUGUCAGUCUUUACCAUAUUAGUUUUAAUCUUUUAUAGCUCCAAAACUUACAAGAAACAUUAGAUAUAUUGUUUACUAAAAUGUUUUUGUGAAUUUUUAUUGCAUUUACGUCUUUACCAAAUUGACAUAGUAGCAAUAUAUAAUGGUAUUGAAGAACUUCAUCUGUCUUCCACAAUCUCAGCUUUAAGCUAUCUUUUCCAUUGGUGACAAUUUCUUCUUAGAAGUGGGGUCAGUAACAAAGAACUGACACUUUGGACUUAAUUCUGAUUGAAGAAAAAGUGAUUGGAAACAUGGAAGUAAUCAAAACAAGAGAAAAUUGCUAGGUCAUUUUUUUACUUGUAUGUAGAUUGUGUGUGUGUGUGUGUGUGUGUGUUUUCAGUCUUUUUCUUCCAGAAGAUCUCUCCUAACUUAUAAGCUUCUCCAUUACCCAGUGUUCACUGAAUAUGUGUUCUGUUUUCUCAGAAUACAUACAUAAAAUUUGAAGGCAGGGAAUCCAGAGUUUUUAUGUUAAAUAUUGCACAGCAAUAGAAAUGCCAUUUCAAGCCUGAUGGUAAUUCAUUUGGAAUUUUGUCCUUGCCCUGUGUCUUUGUUUGCACAUCCAGCGCUGCUGCUUAUAAAGCUCUUGAGAAUACUCUGGGCUUCAGUUUCCUCAUUUAUUUUAUAAGGAGUUAUGCCAAAUGAUUUUUAAUAAUCUGUAACUAUGCAAUAUUUGAAAUUUAUGUUUUAAUUAUAAUUCAUGUAUUUUAAAUGAUUAAGAAAAUAGAUCAUUUCUCACAUUUGAUUUGACAGCUGUUUUUGUUUUAAGGGUUUCUGCAACAUUAUUACUAGUAAAGUAAUUGUUGAAAGACAAUUUGUGAGUUAUUUGAAAUAGUCAUUGCAAAACUUUUCAUUAAGUAUUAGACAAGGCCCUGGGUUUGAUACCCAGUACAACAAAAAAGAAAAGAAAAAGAAGGCAAGAUUUUAGGAUGUUUUAAGGAGGAUAUUUAGUUCCUUUUUACUACUUUUUUUUUUUUUGGUACUGGGGAUCGAGCUCAGGGGCCCUUAACCACUGAGCCACAUCCCCAGCCCUUUUUAUAUUUUUGUUUAGAGACAGGGUCUUGCUGAGUUGCUUAGGGCCUCUAAGUUGCUAAGACUGAUCUUGAAUUCAAGGAUCUCCUGCCUUAGCCUCCUGAACCGUGGGCAUUACGGGCAUGCACCACUGCACCUGACUUUAUUAUUUCUUUUUAACUCACAACAUAGGAGGUAGCAUGUCAUGUAAGACUGGACUGAUGAGAGACUGGCAGGUUAGAACAUUGGCUUGGAUAUUUCAUAGCUGUGUGAUAUGGGCAAAUUACUCUCUCAGUUUUCAUCUAUAAAACAGGGGUAAAAACUUUACCUACUUCUUAGGUAAAGUUAGGUAACAUGUUGGUUAUUUUUAUGUAAUUAUGUAGCUAUUUUAUGUAAUCUUCCUCUGGGGAAAAUAAGCUCUACACGUGUAGACAAUUUUAUUUGGAUACUAGAUCUUAGGCUAUUUAUAAAACAAGGCAAACCAAGUUGUUCUAUCUCAUUUUUUUUUGACUAUCUCUUCUAAAUAAAUGCUUAAAUAAAGAUUAUAAGUUUACUUUAAAAACUAAGCAGGUGAUUUAUACAAUGAUAGUAGAUUAUUAGCAAGAACUACAGCCUGGUGUGGUGGCACAUACCUGUAAUCCCAGCGACUUAGGCAGCUGAGGCAGGAGGAUUGCAAGUUCAAAGCCAACCUCUGCAAUUUAGUGAGGCCCUAGGCAACCAACUUAGCAAGACCCUGUCUCAAAAUAAAAAAAUAUAAAAGGACUGGGAAUAUUGCUCAGUGCUUAAGUACCCCUGGGUUCAAUCUCGGGACCAUAAAUAAAUAAAUAAAUAAAUAGCUACAUAUCUAUCUCAUUUGACUCUUAAUUAAAAUUAAUCAUGUUUCUUUCUUUUCAGAAUAAUACAGUAUUUCAGUUUUUUUUCCUUUUGGUGCCAUGGAUUAAACCUAGGGGUGCUUAACCACUGACCCACAUCUCCAGCCAUUUUUAUUUUUUAUUUUGAGACAAAGUCUUACUAAUUUGCUGAGGCUGGCUUUGCACUUAUGAUCCUCCUUCCUCAGCCUCCCAGUUCCCUGGGAUUAUAGGCAUGCACCACUGAGCCUGGCUCAAAAUAAUUUUUAUUAUGGAAAAUUCCAAACUUAUAUACUGUGCACUACCAUUAUAAUUUUAAUAGCAAAUACUCAUUUCUUUUCCCUUUUCCUUUGAAGUGUGGAGACAGUGAUAUUUUUAUAUCUCCCUCAAUUGUAUCUAACUUUUUUGGUUGUAUGAUUCAGCACAAAUCAGGUACAAUCCAAAUACAUAGUAAGAUAUUUGUAACAUUUAAUAUAGAUUAGAGAUUAAGGCAGUUUCUCUGUAAGUAUGCCAAUAGUAAGGUCAUUAAUAGGGUACUAAUACUUGAAUUAAAAAUUGAGAUCUGAUGAUGUGAUGGACCAUAUUUUUAUAUACUUAUUGAUUGCUAUACCUAAAAUUCUUUAUUUGACUUGAAAUCUGAAACUGAAUUUUGUUUUCUUAAUAAAUGGCUACUAGGAAUAUACUAGUUACCACAAUUUUGUGUGUGUGUGUGUGUGUUUGUGUUUAUGUAAAGGAAUAUUUUAGGACAAUGGCACUUUUAUGCCAAUUGAAGGGUAAAAUAAUGCUCAAAUUUUUUGGCUUUUGCUGUUUUCAGAGUUCUCUUAUAGCUAUAAGAAUGGUCUUUAAUAUUAGCUCACUAUUUUCAAUAUUUUUCAGAUACUGUUUCUUGAUAUAGCAUACUAUAUAACAUUCUUGAUUUUUUUUUAACUAAAUGUCACUGUUAGACUAAUUUCUGACAGUACCUGCAGGAAACAUCUUUGUUCUUUGAAACAGAAAAUUACAAUAUUAAGAAAGUUGGAUAGAGAGACCCGUAAGCCUGCUUAGGAGCAAAUGGUUUAAAGCAAAAAUAGACCUUAUUCUGUGACUUGAAAGUUACCUAGAAGAGUACAAUUAUAUUCUAAAAAUACUCUAAAUUGUUAACAGUUUUUAAAUUUGAAAUAUGUGGAGAUAUCACUUUGAAUUUUGAAGCUCUGAUUUCUCUCUUGUCAUAUCUAGCAUUAUUAAGCCAAGUUACUUUUAUUCUCUAUGGCUUAAGAUGACACAAAUAUUUUUACGGUGUCAUUUAUUCUCUACUAACUAUAAUAGCUAAUAUCAUUAUUUAUAUUUAUUAUAUGCUGCAUAUUUCUAAGAACAUAACAUGUAGAGUUCAUUUAGUCCUUACAUAAGCAUAUGAUAAUAGUACUGUUUUUUCCCCAUUUUUACAGAUGAGAAAUUAAAUAAUAAAGAGGUAAUUGAUUUUUUCAAGGUCACACAGCUAGUAAGUAUUGGAUCCUUGAUAUAAACAUAGGCAUUCUGACUUCGGGACCCAUGCUUUUAACCACUUUGUAAUUCAGUGUAAGCCUAAAUCAAUAGAUUGUGAGGCAGAAAAAAAUAAGCCUGCAUUUUUCACAGGGUUUUAAGAAACAGUCUUUUGCAGGUAUAUUCAGAAAAGGGAAAUGCAAAAAGAUCCUAUUGGUAACAGCAAAAUGCUAAUAAAAAGUAAUUAGUAAUAGGUGAGUGGAUGGUUAGAAGCAUAUUAACCAUAAAGUGGAGUACUGUGUCAAUUUCAGAAGGGAUGAAGAUUUGUAUAUAAAACUUCAGAGUGAUUUUCAGAAUAUAAAUAAGACAGAAUAAUAUAGGACUGUUCCAUAUGAAUUUCCCACAGACAUCUCAGAUUUAGUACAUCAAUAGCUCCUCAUUGUUAUUAUUUGCACCAGAACUGUACCCAUUUAACCAAAAGUGAAAACUAUGAGCAGUGCAAAACUUCUUCACCUUUGGUCCUCUAUUCAAUUGUUUUUCUCAAUACAAUAAGUUCUACUUUGAAUUUUCUCUUGAUUCUUUUCCACACUUCUUACCCCAGGCUGAUAAUGGCAUUUUUCUGCAUAAAUUUUUCAAAACUAUCUCAUUUUCCUCACCUUGAUUUAAACUUACACUGCAGACAACAGGGCUGAGAGUAUGGAUCCUGAAGUCAGAGUGCCCAUGUGUAUAUCAUGACUUCAGUACUGACUAGUUGUGUGACUCUUUGGACUACAAAUACUCCAGUUUAGUUUUGAAAUACUUGUGGGUCCUUUACACAACAGUUAUACCAUUAUAUGUUAAUAGCAUGCAUAAUGAUAGAGCAUUGUUUGUAUUUAAUAUAUGUAAAUGAGUUAUUAUUUAAAAAUCACACACACAUAUAUAUAAUAUGUGUGUAUAAUAUUUUUUUUUCAUUCGUUCCUUCUUAUACUGCCUCAUGUCUCCAUCAUCAGAGCAAAAAAGGAAAAAUCUACAAGGAUUCUUAUGGGUUGGGACCACAACCACAGCUGUAUUUUAUGCCAUAAAUUCUCUUCAGACCCUUCCCUUUCCUCCUCUAUUCUGUAUAGAAUUUUUUUUUUUUAGAGAAAGAGAGAGAGAAUUUAUAUAUAUACAUAUAUAUAUAUAUAUAUAUAUAUAUAUAUUUUUUUUUUUUCUAGUUUUCGGUAGACACAACAUCUUUGUUUGUAUGUGGUGCUGAGGAUCGAACCCGGGCCGCACGCAUGCCAGGCAAGCGUGCUACCGCUUGAGCCAUCCCCAGCCCAUCUGUAUAGAAAGUUAAUCAAGAGUUUUCUAUAACUUAGUUUAGAACAACUAGAUACUAAAAGAUUUCUUUAAAAAGCUAUAGUCUGUCUCCCCUAGCCAGACAUUUCUCCUUGCUCAGAGGUGACCACUUGUAUUGCUUUGAGCUGAUGUGUAUGUGACUUUGUGUCUUUAAUUAAUACCUUUGCAUUGUUCCCUCAUGACAUUUAUUGACUUUGCACCUCCUCUUUAUUUUCGUCUUCAAAAAGUUGUGUUCUUGUUACAUCAAAUUUUUUGUGUUUUUUAAAUUUGUUCUUUUUUAAAUAAUACAUGACAGUAGAAUGUAUUUUGACAUAUUAUACAUACAUGGAGCAUAACUUACUUUAAUUAGGAUCCCAUUCUUAAGGUUUUACAUGAUGUAAAGUUACACAAUAUUCUACAUCAGGUCGUGUAUUUAUAUAUAAGGAAAGGAAAGUUAUGUCCAAUUCAUUCUACUGUCUCCUAUUCCCAUCUUUUACAUCAGUUUUUAAUGUUUACUUUAAAAUUCAUAUGAAUUUUAAAGUAUAUAUAUAUAUAUAUAUAUAUUUAUUUUCAGAGCUGAAAUGUGUAGUUAGCUGUAAUUACUUCUUUUUCUGUAUAAUGUUUUUGUAGUUUCUGAAAUUAGUAGUUAUCUUUUUUGGUAUAAGAUUUUGUAUAUACUAAACUCUCUGACAUGUCUUAGCUCAAUGUUUAAACACAUCAGGUGUUCUAUUAUUCAGUUUUCAAGAAGUUUCUUCCAGAGCCAUACUGACUCUCUACUCCCAGCUCCCUUCUUUUCCGGGAUUAUAGUUUUUCUUAUAUGUAGUGUUCUGUAGUUUUACGAUUAUGUUCCUAAUGUGGCUUAUAAGUUUUUAUUUCUGGUAUUGAUGGCAUUUUACUCUGGAAGAAAUCUGUUUUAGACCUUUACAGAAAAUACACUAUGUUUCUCUCCUGAAGCAGUAGUGGGUUGCCCAGAUGUGAGAAGUUCAUCUUUCUGGGGAUCAAACCUGUAGGCAAGUGCUCUACAGCUGAACCAUAUCUCUUGCCCACACUCUUUAUUUCUUAAAUAGACUUUCAACCAGUCAUCUUCUUUCUUGUCUUUAUUUUCAGUCCUUGUUUUCUUUCUUCCAAUUUUUAGCUCCCCAUUUCUCUUUUCUAAAAGUUUGUGGUUCUACUAAUUCCUGUGUUUUCAAGGAGAGAGAAAAGAUAUAUGAGGUGAAUUUGAUUGCUUCUCAGCUUUCUCUAUUGCCAUCUUACGACUCGGCUCUCUCUGAUCUGAUAAGUCAAUUUCCUCUUUAAUUCUUCUCUCCUGCUUUCAUCUUUCAUCCCCUUCAUGUUCUUAAACUUAUGUCCCCAUGCCUCGAACAUCUUUUUACAAUAAAUACUACAAUUUUUUACAAAAAUACUACAAUAGUUUUACUGAGGUUUCAGAAGGAAGGAAGGGAGGGAGGGAGGGAGGGAGGGAGGGACAUUAAAUGAGUAUUAAACAAUCAACAUAUAGCCUUAUUUUUCACUCACAGGUAAAUAGAGUGUCUAGUGACAUCUACCUCUGAUACUCUGCCUACUAGUCUACAUAUUUUCCUAGUUUGUCUCUUUUCUUUCUAGACCGAAUUUUUUUUAAAUAAAAUUUAUUGAGGUCAGAUUUAAUUCUUUUGAAUCUUAUCUCCUCUCUCAGGAUUUGGUAUCUUAUUCCUGGAUCACUUCUUAGAUGAUAUAGUGCUUGGGCCACAGAAAGUUAUAUAUUUUAAUAUUCUGGGUGGCAUUCCCUUCACUUCUGACUCCAAAUUAAAGAACAUUGUCAACCAUUUGUGCUACUUGCUUACCUUGGGAAUGUUUAGAAAUGCUGGUCAUGUUUUUGACUGUAUAGUAUUUGGAGCACACUGUUAUCACUUAAUGAGCAGGGCCACUGGAGGGGCUAAAACCUCUUUAGUGCAUGGAAUAGUUAUGCAGGGUAGUAGUGAUCUUGAAAAGCUCUGCUGGAAGUCACAAAGGAAACCUGGCUCUGCUCUGAGGGUAGUACUUCUCAGCCCUUGUCUGUUUUCAUUCCCACCGCAUAAGUUGGGCUGGAAAGAUAGGGUAGAAGUCCUUCUUGGUCCUCAUUGCUGCUUCCUGACCCCUGUCUUCCUUACUCUGAAAAGAAAUAAAAAUAAAAGCAACAAACAGAAAAAAAAAUUGUACCCCACUUUGAAUUUGAUACCUACCCAUUUUCGUUACAGAGGGAACAUCUCACUAUGAAAAUAAUUUUAUUUCAUGUAUUUAUAUGAAAAGGUCAUACAACUAAUAAUAUUUAAAAGAAAAAAUUUGAUUUCUAAUUUAAUAAAUAUGUAGUAUAUAUACAACCUACCCCUUCAGCUUAUGGAUAAACUUUAAUGUAGAUUUAUUUUUGGACUGUGAGAAUUGAUGUUAAACUUUGCCUUUCGCCAUUAAAAACUGAUAGUUUUUAAAUGCCUUUCUGCCUCUAUUAGUGCAACAUUUUCUAAGGAUUAUUUGUUUAAAAUGGAAGGGUAAGAAUUAUCUUAACAGCGGGCUACCUACAUUGUCACAGUGUGAUAUUAUCAAAUAUAAUUCUGUGCAAGAUUUUUAGAUGUGUCUAAAUAUUAUAUACCUUUUUAAAUUGAAUUGUAGUUUUUAAUAGAUCAUUUUGUAAAAGUGUAUCUAAUGCCAGGAUAUAGCAUACCUCAUGUACUUAUAUGUUUUCUCAAAUUAUGUGUAUGAUAUUUAAUGUAGUACUUUUUCUUUUCUGUGUUUUAAACGAAGCAAAUGACUUGCAACAUUGAAUUUACCAGUGUGCCUUUCUGAUUUUUAGGUUGUGGAAAAUGCCCUUAAAGUGAACCCAGUAUUAGGUCCACAAAUGUUUCAACCAAUUUUACCCAGUGUUUUCAGGGGUAUUAUAGAAGGGGAGGUAAGAUUUUUCUUAAUCUUCUAAGGAUAGUAAUUGGACUCCAUGGUUCUAGUUUUCAUUUUUCUCCUUCAUUGGAAAAUCAUUUCUUCCUCACUGAUAAAUGUAAAAGGAAAGCUUUUCUUAUUUAGAUCAUAUUAAAUUAAGUGCAUUUUCAGGAUAGUUGUGCACCUUUAAUUUUUUUAAACUUUCCCACAUAGACAUCUUUUGACAUCUCUUUCACUCAUGUAUAUGUGUAUUCACGCACAAUGAUUUGAAGUAGAGUAAAAUUUAGUGACUUAAUUCUAGUACCUUACUAUUGAGAAUAUGGGGGGGAAUAGUGCUAGUAUUGUUAUGGACUGAGUGUAUGAAACUACAGGUAUACCAUUGAUAAAUAGUCUUUCUUUUUACUAUACCUCAAUAUAUGCAUAAUAUAUAUCAUCCAUAUAAAUAUAUAUAAAUAUUUUCCAGGUAUUAUGUAUAUCUGGUAAUUUAGUGUGAACUCAGUCAAUGUUGGCAGUUCAUUCUAAAGAGAAGCAAUAUGAAGGAGAAUUUUUUUUAAUAUUCCUGUUGACUGUUACCAUAUCAGUGAUUGUUGAUAAUUGUACUUAUAGCUUAACACAGUUUUUCAUUUGCUGUAUUUUAAUUGUACAGAGGUAUCCUGUAGUGAUGUCCACAUAUCUUGGAGUUAUGGGCCGGGUCCUACUACAAAAUACUAGUUUUUUUUCUUCACUUCUUAAUGAGAUGGCACAUAAAUUUAAUCAGGAGGUAAGAAUUUUAUG
RNAcentral lists this long non-coding RNA (11848 nucleotides) under Marmota monax (woodchuck). Lineage: Eukaryota; Metazoa; Chordata; Mammalia; Rodentia; Sciuridae. The record is from RNAcentral.